This is a long non-coding RNA of Apis dorsata (giant honeybee), 7440 nucleotides long. RefSeq lists it as uncharacterized. NCBI's taxonomy places the organism in Eukaryota, Metazoa, Arthropoda, Insecta, Hymenoptera, Apidae. The record is from RefSeq and is a predicted model, not a curated record. The transcript is spliced from 2 exons.
GUCGAGUCGAGUCGGAUCGAGUCGAAAGUAGCGAGCUUUUCGAGCGUCUCGCAUGGAUUCCACGCCCGAGACGCGUCCCCCUCGUCGAACGCGAUUUUUUUCUCCCCGGAGAAAUUGUAUUAUAUAUAUAUCGAACACGAAUGUGCGUUGUGUGGUUGAAUGUACGUAGACCGAAAAUCGGACAUCUAUGUAGCGUUAUGUAUAAAGGCGCGAGAAGAUUUUUGUAUAAAAAAACGUGUACAUAAUUAAUAUAUAUGCAUAUAUAUAUAUAUAUAUAAAAAAUACAGAUAUAAAUACGAUUAUAAAUAUACGAACGUAAGCGCGAAAUAUAAACACGUAAUAUACGUAUGAAUGUAAAGAAAUAUAUAUGUCAGAAUUACAGUGUCUUGCAAUCGUUCAAUCGUAUAUCCAACGAAGAGGAGAGUGUAUAUAUGUAUAUAUAUACACACACACGCAUACACAAAGGUAAGUCUGGAGAGAAUGAAAAAUCGACGAUACCACCUCCCCCCCCCCUUUCCUUUCCCCUUCCUCGGACGAGCUAGUUCGAAGGAGAAGUAUGGCACUCUAAGUAUUUUCGAGCUAACAACCAUUUCCGAGCAUUCCUGCACGAACGUAUUUCAAUAUAAACAAUCGCCGGGCGAAUUUCCCUGGGCGCACGGCAGCGCGGCGGCAGUGAUUUCUGGCCGACGUGACGGCGAUGCCUUCGUCUGCGAGCGCGACCCCGAGUGCCCUCGCUCGAGGAACGCAACUCGUUUCGAUUCUUCUUUAACCUCUCUCCUCCUCCUCCUCCUCCUCCUCCUCUUCGCUCGGUUGUCCGCUCGCCUCGCGGACUGCCACUCUUCCUCCUCUUCGUAUGCCUGCCCGAACGCUAAACGUAAGUAAGUAAGAAAGAAAGGAAGAAAGAAAGUAAGUAAAGUAAGUAUGUAUCCUUGUUUCGUUUCUCUUGGGAUUCCUCGCGGUGACGGAGCUUUCGCGGAAUUUUCAAACUGUACCGAGACGAAAAUCCAGAAGAAAUUCCAGAAACGUUUCGCAGGUGUCUGCCGGUAUAUACGGAGUUCGGAAGCGUGGCGAGCAUCGCGCGUUCUACGAGGAGAACGCAUAAAACGGGGAUAAAUCACGCGAAGGAUGCCGAGUUGGGCUAGGGCGGAGAAGCAAAAACCCGAGUGCGAGAGAAAGAGAGAUCGGUGGCGUGGAGCGCGGAGAGCCUCGACGAACCAGCCGGAUGCUUAGAAUUUCGAUAAAUCUAACUUGGCAGGAGAAACAAACGGCCCAGUGAGAGACUUUUUUUCCGUCCGAUCAUCGUCCGCCGUUUUUGGCUCCCGUUCAAAAAUCUCGCUUCUUUUUUCGUACCCUCGAAUCCGUAUCCUGUGCACGCGAUACGUAAACGAAUAAUGGGCGAUAGACGGACGAAAUUAACGAGAGCUCGAUUCAUCGAGAGGAAUUAACGCGAGAACGGGAUCGAGGGGAGGGGAGAAUCGCGAUAUCGCCCGACUCACGGUUACGUCAUCUUCUAUCACCGUCCACCAUCCGCUAUCGACGAUAUCGACGAGAACCGCCUCUCUCCGCCGCCCCGAUCGAACUUAACUUUCGAGUAAACAGCCAUUCUUACUGCUGUCUUUCUCCAAUCGUUAUGCGACUCGACCGCGUAACGCGAUAACGACUGCUCGAUACAUAAGUAACAUCGAUCAUAACGCGUACGAUGAAAUCGAAAAGUCGAGUUUUAAUUCGCGAUGCCUCGAAUUCUGAUCAAAAAUGGCCACCUUACGAACCGUAUACCGGUGAAGAACACCCAUCGAUCAAAGAUUACGCGGCUCGUCAAACCGACUUCCGUGUCCGUGUUCCGUUUCUUGAUGGAGUAAUGCGCGUUCGUUGUGUUUCAAUUGGUAGCCGCGGCCCACACGCGACUCGCGAUUCGUUCGAUCGAGCCUUACCUCGCCCCUGUCGCGGUGAGGACGCGUGAACGCGACGAACGAGGCCGUUUUUAACGAGCUCGCGCGCCUACCCCGUACACGCGGUCCCGCGUAAACGAGAGGCGGAGCAACCGCUUCCAAGAGGUCAGAGGCCACUACCAAUCGCAAUCUCCCGAUAACCACUCUUCUCACUGGCUCCUCUCCUCGGAUCAACGCUGAAGCGCCACUUUUUUCCUUUCUAUUUACACGUACCGAGGAUGCGUGGACGCAUAUGCGCCGCCUUCUCCUUUCCUCCCUUUCCCACCUAUUCGCGUCACUUUUUCCUAGGAUACGCUGUUUUUUCAUCAAUUGUCGUAAUCCGUAAUAAGGCCGAAAAACCUAACCGGAUCUCAACUCGAAGGACUAUUCGUCACAGGAAUCGAUCUCGUCGCGGUUCUCUCUUCGACUACCUCGACCGUUGCGAUAAACGAUGUGUCGCGACAUUCGCAUAAUCGUUCGAUUUGUACACGUCAUUCUUUCGCUCGUAACAAUUUUCGUCGAAGCGAUGUUAAAAGUUUCGCGUAUGCCUUUCGAUUUCCUAUCGACUAUGUUUUACACGGAAAGAAUCAUUUUUUUCUUUUUUUUCACUCACGUUGCAUGCUAUUUAUGUAUAUAUACGUGUGCUUUUAACUAAUCGUUUCUUUUCACUACAUGACUAUUUGAACUACGUAACAAUAGAACUAUUGAACUACGGAAUCACGUAUCUUCGUUUCAUUGUUUUAUCUUCUUUAAGUGGUUUUUCUUCUUUCACAAAUGAUUCAUAGGUAAGUACGAGCCAUCCAAAUAAAAAUAAAAAUUUUGCUUGUUCUUGUCAUUUUUUUCAACUGAACAUAUGUGUGGAAUCGGAACGAAAAAUAUCGCGGCAUUUUGUGAAACUUUCUCCGAUUAUCCUAUUAGCGCCAUCGUUCGAUCAAUUUUUGAAUCUCUUACGUCGUAGUUAAAACCAAUAAUAUUGUAUAUAUACUAUCGAUAUCAUUCUGUGAGUUUCGAUUUGAUUCGGUCAAGGAGAAUCGAUACUGUUUUGAUAUUUAACGAAAAUAUCGAUACAUGAGUUCGAUAUUGAGAACGAUACGACGAUAGAUAUUAAUACGAUGUUAACGAUCACGAACAUGUUUGAUUCCAAAGUACACGUCAGAAAAUUACGUAAAAAGUUAAUAUAAGAGAGCAUCUUUAUCGACAUUAUCGACGGAUAGUCAGUUAAUUAGUAGAGCAUCACAAGCGCUUUCGUCUUGUUCUUUUUCUUCUUGUAUUCAUAAUUGAAAAUAAAUCGUUAUAGAAAGAACGUACGUGUUGAAUUAUUGCAUUACGAACUUUUUAACUCCUUUUUCCUUUAAUUCUUUUUCUUCUAUUAUCAAAUUUAGUGAAUAUAGUAACAAAUCAACAAUUAGAAUCAAUUAAUUGGCGAUGUAGUUAAAUCGAUCUUCAAAUGUAAUUUAUAAAAUGAAAUGUAAAAAAGUAAUGGCCAAUUAUAUCGAUUUCGAAAAUCAAAUUAAAAUAAAAUAUCAUAUUAAAUCGAUUUAAUAAAAUAACUAAUGACUAAAAUAAAAAACAAUUUAUUAACGACAAUAUCUAUAAUUACACUAUAAUGUAUCGCGCGUGGGAAGCAGUAUUUCAUUUGAUAAUAUCGCUUAGCUUUUUUUUCUUUUUUUUUUUUAUCGGACUGUUAAAUGGAUUAACCAUCGUGUAAUCGAUUGAGAUAACCAGCAAAGAGAACCUAUUAGAGGAUAAGAUCAAAUCGAAUAGCGAUGAUUUUGAGGAUUAAAAUGUUUCGGUGGUUUCCUGCAAAUCCUGAUAAAAUUGUAAAAGAUGAAACGAAAAAUAACGGGACGAGAGAAGAUUAGAUAUAACGAAUUUGAAUAAAUUAUCAACCACAUUCAAACUUCUGAAAACAACUAUUUUCUAUUGGACAUUGUAUUCUGUUCAUCUUUACCUCACAUUUCGUAAGAUAAAUCAAUAAAUAUCAACGCGAAACUAACGUUAUAUGCGUAUAUAUAUAUAUAUAUUUAUAUUAAAAUUAAACGUGCACGCUGAUGAAACGCGUCUGGAAACACUCAACAAUGAUCAAUAUUGUUUUUGUUGAGAGUCGUGUUACGAAAGAUCCGUCCAAUGGUCAGUUGAACGAUCAGAUGCAUAAAAUGUAUAUGUACAUAUACGAUAAUCAGUUUGUGCAACACUAGAGACACUAUUCGUAAUAUUUUUGUUUUGAAAAAAAAAAAAUAAUUACACGCAUCGACCCAAUUAUUAAACAAUUACGAAUUUAAAACAUCUUGUCUCAUUUAGCGUUUCCUUCGCGUCAUUAUUAUUAAAAACUGUCGUACGUACAUUACAAUGACACGAGAGAUAAUUUAAUUAAUCGGUCAAAACAUCGUAAAAUUAUUCUGACGAAAUAUUAUCUCUUUUUUUAUUCGACAUACAAUUCGAUCUGCACUAGACACUCGAGUGCUUUCGAAAUAUAUAUUUACAAUAUACACCGACAACGAUUAUCGCAUAAUUUAUUAAAGUUUUUUUUUUUUUUUUGUUUAAAUACGUUCACAAAAAAUUGAUAAAAACUUGUACACGCGUGUAUUAAUUAUUUCGAUUAACUUUCAAUCUUAGUAGACAUUUCUUUCGAGUCGAUGUAUUUUCGUAAUUUUCAUCUAUAAUUCACGAAUUAUAUAAUUUCCCAACUUAUUCACGGCAUUGCAUCUCUAAUGCAUAUGUAUUCUUUAUGCUCAGGGCACCAAACACUUGCUGCUUCGAAGGCAUCUCGUGGCUAUUGUUUUAUUUUAUUUAACUUCUCUUUUCAAAAUAAAUAAAUCGUGAUUACUUGGUUCGUUUAGUCGGUAGCAUUGGACGCCAAAGUAUCUCUAUCGGUAAUAUCAGAAUAUUUCAACUCGACGAAGUAAUAAGUUGUUAAAGAUAACUUUCUCGCGUUCUCUCUUUCUCUCAUCCUCUCUCUCACUCUCUCUUCUCUUCACUCUACUUUCUUCUCCUCCUAUAGUUUUCCUAUACUUUCGCAUUUAUUGUGUAAAUCUUUCUCCACUCUAGCGCCUCUUAUCUUUCUUUCACACGUUUCGCGCGCGCAGACACACGGUUACGGAUGCAUCCUGUACAUUACACUAGCAUUACACACUCACUUCCUGCUUUUUUUUUUUUUCAUUUCUAUCGGUGCAAAAAAUAGUCUUGCUAUUAUACUUUUUACUUCGCGUUUUUUUUUUUUUUUUUGCGUUUAAAAAUUGUCGAUUAAAAUUGUACUUCAUAAAUCUAAGCACUCUGUAUAGUAAAGUUAAUACAUCGAAAUCCGUUCAUUUCAUAUGACGCAAAGGUACUCGCGCUUCGAGCAUGAGAGUAUGGAGUAACUAACGUUACAUCUCAUCGUACUUACGUCCAUUUAGAUACACUAGUUAUACGAAGAAUUACGCGAAAUAUAUUCUCUCGUUGACAAACUUCAAGGUAGAAUAUCCAGGCUCGAAAUUUCACAUUUCAAAUAUCGGUACAUGAUCUAACUCGAGAUAAUCGAGUAUUCAAUCGGGUAUUUCAUUCGAUUACAAAAGCAUUCCCGUGAAUAUUUACUUCACAUCGCGCGAAACGUUACGAUGGAACUGAGGCCGUUCAAAUAAGUAAAGCAACAACAAAGCGAGUUUUUUGCUCCACACUCGUACGCUAGAAGUAGUGUUCGCGGACAAAGCUGUACGAAUUUAAUGCUUUGUAAAUAUAUAUAGUAUAUACUACGUGCAGCACAUCGCGUUGCGUGACGUUGUCGUUAACGAAGACACACCGGAUCGUAUUAGGAAGGAGCGAAUAACUUUGAUACAAGUACUAUCAGCCGGAACGCGAUACGUCUCGAACGUGCACACAUACGUAGGUACUUUUUUGUAUGUUACCUGCUUACGGUUAUCUAUUUAGAUGUCUUGUAGCUUAUUUAUCAUUAGUACUAUUACUACCACGGUGCCCUGGCUGUCGGUAAACUACACAACGUAUAGCUAUAUUAGUAUAGCUAAAUAAAUUAAAUAUAGCUAUGUUUUUGAAAUAAAUCUAUAUUCAUCGACCGAGAUAGCGUUAUGCACCAUUCGUGUGCUUUGUUUUUCCUUCAUGUAUGAUCGAUUUUUCACAAUCCAUUCGCUUCUGCUAGAUGCUGAGCGAGAUAUCGAUCUCUCGAAUCUCUCCAUCAUUCGAUCAGGUUCGAUAAAAAGAAAAGAUAGGUUAAUAAUUGUCCGAGUUGAAAAUAGAAAUAUUUGAUUCAAAAUUGAGUGGGAUGUAUUUAAUAGAAUGGUAGAGAGAGAGAAAAAAAAAGAAUGAAAAUAUUCGCGGAAACCGAGUAGGAAAUUUGGUAUUCCCCGUAUAUAAUUAUAGAUUUCUAUUUUAAUUAAUGUAAAAUUAUUAUAAAAGAUAUAUAUACAUCAACCACUAGAUUACAUCGAUUAUCUCUUGAUUAACGUUUCCCUCUUUGUUGUUCGAUUAUUCACUAUGCUUUACCCAGCGCCAUAAAUUUUCUCGUUCUCGCAUUUUGUAGUUUCUGAAUUGGGCUGCGCAUGUACAUGUGUUAGGAACCUUAAUAAGGCAACGAAGGAGCCCUGAAUUUUACGAAUGUAAUCGAUUUUCGUUUUCACAUUCUUUAAGAUGCUUUUAAAGCUAUACAAAUUUCACAAUGCUCAGGCACGAACGAAACCGUUUAUAAAUAAGUAAUUAUUUUAUAAGAAAGAGACCCGGUACCUUAUAUGAUUCUCCUUCUACACGCAAUUUAUUUUCUAUACAUCGUAUUUCUUCUCUUAACCAAUUAAUUAAUUAAUUGCAAUACAUUUUAUUUGAUAAUACAUCGUAUAUAUCAUUGAUACAAAAAAAAAAAAAACUAUAAAGCACAAAAAUUACGCAAAAGCUUGUGCCACGAUACCUAAAGAUUGAUUAUUCCAUAUUACAGCGUUUUCAUAGCGAAAAUAUUUAAUUACAUGUAAAUAAAAAAUUAAAAAAUAUUUGUCGUAUACCGAUAUAUACCGAUAUAAAUUUUCGAUUAUCAAUAUAAUUGUUACAAUCAACAUAAAAAUUAAACAAAAUCUAUACGAUUAAACAUAUAAUCAAUUAUUUUUCGAUCAAUUCAUAGAUAACACUCAGACAAAAGCUCUCAAAAAAUAUAUAAAUAUAAAAUAUUCUUUUUUUAUACCAACAAAGUUUUAAAUUUUUUUGAAUGAAACGUAAGCACAAUCGAACAGAGUACAACAUUCGUAAAGUUCAGUAAUCAUUAACAGAGAAAACAGUGAUUUGUAUACAAAACUUUUAAACAAUAUCAUAUCACAGUACUAGCUAUAAAUACAACGUUUAAAAGAGAGCUAAACCAGUGCUUCGUUAGAAAAGGGAAAGAGAAGAGAGAGGAGAGAGAAAAAAAAAAAAAAAAAAAACACUGAAAGAAGUCCUACGAAAAAUUUGUACACGAUUUGCGAGAAUCACGGGACCGAGGCUCCAUCUUUGUUUUCUUUUAUCAUUAAUAUUUUCACUAUAAAAAGAAAGACAAGGACAG